RNAcentral lists this ribosomal RNA (1346 nucleotides) under uncultured bacterium. Its description in RNAcentral is "partial 16S ribosomal RNA". It matches the Rfam family "Bacterial small subunit ribosomal RNA", at positions 28 to 1381 of the family's 1533-position model. The record is from RNAcentral.
GACGAACGCUGGCGGCGUGCUUAACACAUGCAAGUCGAACGGAAAGGCCCUGCUUUUGUGGGGUGCUCGAGUGGCGAACGGGUGAGUAACACGUGAGUAACCUGCCCUUGACUUUGGGAUAACUUCAGGAAACUGGGGCUAAUACCGGAUAGGAGCUCCUGCUGCAUGGUGGGGGUUGGAAAGUUUCGGCGGUUGGGGAUGGACUCGCGGCUUAUCAGCUUGUUGGUGGGGUAGUGGCUUACCAAGGCUUUGACGGGUAGCCGGCCUGAGAGGGUGACCGGCCACAUUGGGACUGAGAUACGGCUCAGACUCCUACGGGAGGCAGCAGUGGGGAAUAUUGCACAAUGGGCGGAAGCCUGAUGCAGCAACGCCGCGUGCGGGAUGACGGCCUUCGGGUUGUAAACCGCUUUCGCCUGUGACGAAGCGUGAGUGACGGUAAUGGGUAAAGAAGCACCGGCUAACUACGUGCCAGCAGCCGCGGUGAUACGUAGGGUGCGAGCGUUGUCCGGAUUUAUUGGGCGUAAAGGGCUCGUAGGUGGUUGAUCGCGUCGGAAGUGUAAUCUUGGGGCUUAACCCUGAGCGUGCUUUCGAUACGGGUUGACUUGAGGAAGGUAGGGGAGAAUGGAAUUCCUGGUGGAGCGGUGGAAUGCGCAGAUAUCAGGAGGAACACCAGUGGCGAAGGCGGUUCUCUGGGCCUUUCCUGACGCUGAGGAGCGAAAGCGUGGGGAGCGAACAGGCUUAGAUACCCUGGUAGUCCACGCUGUAAACGGUGGGUACUAGGUGUGGGGUCCAUUCCACGGGUUCCGUGCCGUAGCUAACGCUUUAAGUACCCCGCCUGGGGAGUACGGCCGCAAAGCUAAAACUCAAAGGAAUUGACGGGGCCCCGCACAAGCGGCGGAGCAUGCGGAUUAAUUCGAUGCAACGCGUAGAACCUUACCUGGGUUUGACAUGGAUCGGGAGUGCUCAGAGAUGGGUGUGCCUCUUUUGGGGUCGGUUCACAGGUGGUGCAUGGCUGUCGUCAGCUCGUGUCGUGAGAUGUUGGGUUAAGUCCCGCAACGAGCGCAACCCUUGUUCACUGUUGCCAGCACGUUAUGGUGGGGACUCAGUGGAGACCGCCGGGGUCAACUCGGAGGAAGGUGGGGAUGACGUCAAGUCAUCAUGCCCCUUAUGUCCAGGGCUUCACGCAUGCUACAAUGGCUGGUACAGAGAGUGGCGAGCCUGUGAGGGUGAGCGAAUCUCGGAAAGCCGGUCUCAGUUCGGAUUGGGGUCUGCAACUCGACCUCAUGAAGUCGGAGUCGCUAGUAAUCGCAGAUCAGCAACGCUGCGGUGAAUACGUUCCCAGGGCU